CGAACAGACGAGGAGCUUGCUCCUCUGACGUUAGCGGCGGACGGGUGAGUAACACGUGGAUAACCUACCUAUAAGACUGGGAUAACUUCGGGAAACCGGAGCUAAUACCGGAUAAUAUAUUGAACCGCAUGGUUCAAUAGUGAAAGACGGUUUUGCUGUCACUUAUAGAUGGAUCCGCGCCGCAUUAGCUAGUUGGUAAGGUAACGGCUUACCAAGGCAACGAUGCGUAGCCGACCUGAGAGGGUGAUCGGCCACACUGGAACUGAGACACGGUCCAGACUCCUACGGGAGGCAGCAGUAGGGAAUCUUCCGCAAUGGGCGAAAGCCUGACGGAGCAACGCCGCGUGAGUGAUGAAGGUCUUCGGAUCGUAAAACUCUGUUAUUAGGGAAGAACAAAUGUGUAAGUAACUAUGCACGUCUUGACGGUACCUAAUCAGAAAGCC
Molecule: ribosomal RNA, 443 nt
Filed under: Staphylococcus epidermidis
Lineage: Bacteria; Bacillati; Bacillota; Bacilli; Caryophanales; Staphylococcaceae
Description: bacterial SSU rRNA
Rfam family: Bacterial small subunit ribosomal RNA
Source: RNAcentral